Molecule: unclassified non-coding RNA, 339 nt
Filed under: soil metagenome
Description: partial contains 5.8S ribosomal RNA, internal transcribed spacer 2, and large subunit ribosomal RNA
Rfam family: 5.8S ribosomal RNA (bases 1-120)
Source: RNAcentral
GAUGAAGAACGUAGCGAAAUGCGAUACUUAGUGUGAAUUGCAGAAUUCAGUGAAUCAUCGAAUCUUUGAACGCACAUUGCACCUCUCGGUAUUCCGGGAGGUAUGCCUGUUCGAGCGUCAUUUGUACCCUCAAGCUCUGCUUGGUGUUGGGUGUUUGUUCCGCCUCUGUGUGUGAACUCGCCUCAAAACAAUUGGCAGCCGGCGUACUUGUUUCGGAGCGCAGCACAUUUUGCGAUCCAGAUCAACGUACAGCGGCAUCCAAGAAGCCUUAUUUAACGCUCUUGACCUCGGAUCAGGUAGGGAUACCCGCUGAACUUAAGCAUAUCAAUAAGCGGAGGA